RNAcentral lists this unclassified non-coding RNA (644 nucleotides) under Hevea brasiliensis (rubber tree). The record is from RNAcentral. Lineage: Eukaryota; Viridiplantae; Streptophyta; Magnoliopsida; Malpighiales; Euphorbiaceae.
AAUUUUGAUGCAUUGGAGAGGCUGGUUGCACGGUCACUUUCACUGAAGAAACUCAGGUUAAACCGAUAUGUUUCAAUUGGCCAGUUACACCGUCUGAUGGUGCGAGCUCCACAACUCACACAUCUUGGGACAGGCUCAUUUCGACCAUCAGAGGAUGUGGCUCAGGGUGAACAAGAACCAGAUUAUACAUCUGCAUUUGCUGCUUCCAAAUCCUUAGUUUGCCUAUCUGGCUUUAGGGACAUCAUUCCAGAUUACUUAACAGCAAUUUACCCAGUUUGUGCUAGUCUAACUUCUCUGAACUUAAGCUAUGCAAAUAUCAAUGCUGAACAGCUCAAACCUAUAAUAGGCAAUUGCCAUAAGCUUCAGAUUUUCUGGGUCCUUGAUUCAAUAUGCGAUGAAGGGCUUCAGGCUGUGGCUGCAACAUGCAAGGAACUUCGUGAGCUGCGGGUUUUUCCAAUUGAUGCUCGGGAGGAUAGCGAAGGCCCUGUUUCUGAAGUUGGCCUCCAAGCGAUUUCAGAGGGUUGUAGAAAGCUUCAAUCAAUUUUGUAUUUUUGCCAGCGGAUGACGAAUGCAGCUGUUAUAGCCAUGUCAAAGAACUGCCCAGAUCUUGUGGUAUUCCGUCUUUGUAUAAUGGGACGUCACAG